Molecule: transfer RNA, 73 nt
Filed under: Methanobacteriota archaeon
Lineage: Archaea; Methanobacteriati; Methanobacteriota
Description: Euryarchaeota archaeon (hot springs metagenome) tRNA-Arg
Rfam family: tRNA
About the family: Transfer RNA (tRNA) molecules are approximately 80 nucleotides in length. Their secondary structure includes four short double-helical elements and three loops (D, anti-codon, and T loops).
Source: RNAcentral
GGGCUUGUGGGGUAGCUUGGAAUCCUAUGGGCCUUCGGAGCCUAAGACCCGGGUUCGAAUCCCGGCAAGCCCA